AGGAGGAGGAGGGAGAUAGGGAUGAGGAUGAGGUAAGGGGGUUGGGAGAGGGAGGGGACAGGUGUAAGUACCGGGUUGGACAAACCCAGAGUACCCACCCUCUGCCCCAGAACUGCACCCCCCAUCCCUCCCCACUCCCACACAGAGACUGCCCAGAGGGUGAGGCCACAGCUUUGGGCCUAGCCUUUCCCUGGGGGCAUGGCCAACCCUGUGGGCUACUCUGAGCCUGCGGGGGGCCUGCAGCAGGGAGCAGGACCCCGUCUCCCCAGCUCAGCCAAGCCCCACGCGGGGCUAACCAGGCUGCCAGGGCCCCCAGCAGAUUACGUAAGGGCUUAUGCCGCCGCGGCUCAUUUGUCCGCCCCCCUCCCUCUCCAGCCUGGCGUGGCGCCAGGAGCCCGAAAACCCAGGGCUCCAGAAAUCAAUCUCGCGGUGACUGAUUAAGCCCUGUUUAGAACUAAUUGCUCUUUCGUGUGUGGGGAGAAUAAAUUACCUGCUUUAAUUUCGUGUCUUUAAAAUGCAACUGCAGGUAGAGAAGACUGUUAACCCUUUGCUGGGAGGGCCUGGCCAGGGGAAACAGAGUAGGCUGGGGUCCCCAAGGUGGGUCCAGGCCUGAGACUUUUCGGAGGUAUCACCCCAACUCCUCUUAGCUGCUGUGAACUCCACAGAGGGUUUGGAUUCCAGCAGGCCCCUCAAAAGACAUCCUUUUGCCACAGAGACCUCAGCCUUCACCCUCUUCAGUGCCCACCUUCAGGCCAGCCCAGCUCUCCUGCCUGCCCUUUGGGCUGCACCCUGCCCUCCUCUCCUGACCCACCUGCCUGCCCUCCAAGCCCCUUGCUGUUGGAGCCUUCUCAAAAUCCCCACAGUGUGUGGCAAAGUCCCCAUUCACACGCCAGAAGACCUAGGCUCAGAGAGAGGAAUGGCUUGCCCAAGGUGGCCUUUUCUGCUGUCCCUCGGUUCCUCCCUGGGCUUCACCUCUGCCAUCUCUCCAUACAUCCUCUUUUUAAUUCUGCUGUGCCAGUCUCCAGUGCUCCCCAUGUCACUGCCUGCUUUUGCCAGGCCUGUUCUGAGGACAGAGGAAGGCAGGAAGUCCACUGGCCCCACUGGAAUCUGGAGUAGAACUUCUGCUGGGCCUGCGGCACCCCACCUCUGGGGCCUCCCACCUGGUGGCCUCAACUUCCUGGUCCAGUAGAGAUGGGGUUUCACCACGUUGACCAGACUGGUCUUGAACUCCUGACCUCAGAUGAUCCACCCGCCUCGGCCUCCCAAAGUGCUGGGAUUACAGGUUGGUCUUAUUCUAAGUCUAAAGGAUAUCACAUUCUGCCAU
RNAcentral lists this long non-coding RNA (1324 nucleotides) under Homo sapiens (human). Its description in RNAcentral is "HSALNT0291710". The record is from RNAcentral. Lineage: Eukaryota; Metazoa; Chordata; Mammalia; Primates; Hominidae.